UAAUCAGUCUGAUAUUUUUGAUUGAAAGGACUGUCAUUACUUGUAUCUGAAUAAUUGAUGUGUUCAUAUCUCCAAAUCUCAAUAGCUGGUGAGUUUAGCUUUGAACAAUUAAUUCUGGGGACAACAAGUUCAGAAAGAAAUGCAAACAAACACAAAAUUUACACAGAAUUGCUAAGGGUCUUUUUAAAAAUUUCUGUUUAAUUUCAAAGAAAGUAUGUCUAAAACUGAAAUGCCUAUGGAAUAUUUCCUCCAAUAUAAUCUUACUUAAAAGCCUUACCAGCAAUAUUUUAAGGAGGCAUUGUUGAAUAGGUCUGCAGCAGCUUCUUAUGAGCCUGUGAAUUUCUAAUGUACUUGGGAAGAUCAUCCUUCCACAAACAGCCCAUUGGAGUUGAGUCUAAGGUUCAUCCAGGGUUCAGAUGCUUCAUUACCACCAGGCAGGAAAUGAGCAGGUUCUGGGCAAGAUGACUUUGUAGGCCCUGAUCUUAGAACAGCUGGAUGGGAGGAAGAAGCAUGAAUCUCAAGGAAUACGUAGUAAGCGAGAGAUUCAUGGCAGAAAAAACUUCAUAUGAGACCAAGACAAAUUUGA
Long non-coding RNA from Vidua chalybeata, 586 nucleotides. RefSeq lists it as uncharacterized. Lineage: Eukaryota; Metazoa; Chordata; Aves; Passeriformes; Viduidae. The record is from RefSeq and is a predicted model, not a curated record. The transcript is spliced from 4 exons.